This 626-nucleotide ribosomal RNA is filed under the name Oenococcus oeni. RNAcentral describes it as "bacterial SSU rRNA". It matches the Rfam family "Bacterial small subunit ribosomal RNA", at positions 83 to 696 of the family's 1533-position model. The record is from RNAcentral. Lineage: Bacteria; Bacillati; Bacillota; Bacilli; Lactobacillales; Lactobacillaceae.
GCAAUGACUAGAGUGGCGAACUGGUGAGUAACACGUAAGAAACCUGCCCUUUAGUGGGGGAUAACAUUUGGAAACAGAUGCUAAUACCGCGUAACAACAAAUCACACAUGUGAUCUGUUUGAAAGGUCCUUUUGGAUCGCUAGAGGAUGGUCUUGCGGCGUAUUAGCUUGUUGGUAGGGUAGAAGCCUACCAAGGCAAUGAUGCGUAGCCGAGUUGAGAGACUGGCCGGCCACAUUGGGACUGAGACACUGCCCAAACUCCUACGGGAGGCUGCAGUAGGGAAUUUUCCGCAAUGCACGAAAGUGUGACGGAGCGACGCCGCGUGUGUGAUGAAGGCUUUCGGGUCGUAAAGCACUGUUGUAAGGGAAGAAUAACUGAAUUCAGAGAAAGUUUUCAGCUUGACGGUACCUUACCAGAAAGGGAUGGCUAAAUACGUGCCAGCAGCCGCGGUAAUACGUAUGUCCCGAGCGUUAUCCGGAUUUAUUGGGCGUAAAGCGAGCGCAGACGGUUUAUUAAGUCUGAUGUGAAAUCCCGAGGCCCAACCUCGGAACUGCAUUGGAAACUGAUUUACUUGAGUGCGAUAGAGGCAAGUGGAACUCCAUGUGUAGCGGUGAAUGGCGUAGAUA